This 74-nucleotide transfer RNA is filed under the name Candidatus Palibaumannia cicadellinicola. Its description in RNAcentral is "Candidatus Baumannia cicadellinicola tRNA". It matches the Rfam family "tRNA". From Rfam's summary of the family: Transfer RNA (tRNA) molecules are approximately 80 nucleotides in length. Their secondary structure includes four short double-helical elements and three loops (D, anti-codon, and T loops). Further hydrogen bonds mediate the characteristic L-shaped molecular structure. tRNAs have two regions of fundamental functional importance: the anti-codon, which is responsible for specific mRNA codon recognition, and the 3' end, to which the tRNAs corresponding amino acid is attached (by aminoacyl-tRNA synthetases). tRNAs cope with the degeneracy of the genetic code in two manners: having more than one tRNA (with a specific anti-codon) for a particular amino acid; and 'wobble' base-pairing, i.e. permitting non-standard base-pairing at the 3rd anti-codon position. The record is from Rfam by way of RNAcentral. Lineage: Bacteria; Pseudomonadati; Pseudomonadota; Gammaproteobacteria.
AGGGGUGUAGUUCAAUUUGGUAGAGCACCGGUCUCCAAAACCGGAAGUUAGGAGUUCAAAUCUCUUCACCCCUG